Molecule: transfer RNA, 72 nt
Filed under: Akkermansia sp.
Lineage: Bacteria; Pseudomonadati; Verrucomicrobiota; Verrucomicrobiia; Verrucomicrobiales; Akkermansiaceae
Also listed under: 1 other name
Description: tRNA-Thr
Rfam family: tRNA
About the family: Transfer RNA (tRNA) molecules are approximately 80 nucleotides in length.
Source: RNAcentral
GCCGGAUUAGCUCAGUGGUAGAGCACCCGAUUUGUAAUCGGACGGUCGUCAGUUCGACCCUGACAUCCGGCU